Long non-coding RNA from Myotis daubentonii (Daubenton's bat), 1009 nucleotides. RefSeq lists it as uncharacterized. NCBI's taxonomy places the organism in Eukaryota, Metazoa, Chordata, Mammalia, Chiroptera, Vespertilionidae. The record is from RefSeq and is a predicted model, not a curated record. The transcript has 2 exons.
ACACACACCCCUGGUGCGGCCCAGGACAGGCUUGUGAACGCCUCCUGAGCUCAGAAGGUGGCCAGCACUUUCUGAAAUAAAGUGAAAACAGAACAGCUUCAAAUCACUCUUGCUGUCCUGUGAGGAUCAGUAAGUACAAAAACAAAGACCCCUGCUUUAAACUGCUUCAGGACCGAAAAGACUGUCCUGAAAUUGCCGGAGAGCCUUGUUUCGUGUGUAAAGAUCUAAGAGCCGGCCCUCCAGGUGCAGUGGAUAGAAGACAAGUGCAGAGCCUCCCUGUCCCUAGAGCCAGAAGAAAACACACUCGCAGCACAUGAUUCAGCUCCGCGGUGGUUUGCAUGUGGCUGACCAUGCCUGCCAUCCGAGUGGCAUCACCCCCUUUCUGUAGAGCCUCUCAGCCCUCACCAGCACUGGCAGUCCGUCAGGGGAAAGAGAACAUGGCACUUCGGCCCUUUCUACCCCUGCUGUUCUCCCCUUUGGUUAAACAGCCUUCAUUCAGACCAAGCAUGGAUCAAGAGACCAAGAUGUCUUUUGGUAAAGCAGAAUUUCAGAGAAAAUUGUUGAUUGAUUAUAAUUUAAUAUUUUUUAUUCUAGUCAGAAACUUUAAAAUAUUGGUAAUGUGCAAAUCAUACUACAGAGUCUCUUUUUAUAUUUUAGAGUAUCUUAUAAAGAAUAUUCGAGGCCAUUUGAGGCAGGUGAGGUAUAGUAGAAUAGGUAAGUAAAUUGUAUUUGAGUCAAGCGAUCUGGGUACCCAUCCUGGCCAUAUAGCAGGCCAGCUAUGUGUUCCUUACCACAGCCUCAUGGGAUUGGACAAGGAAAGGUUGCCACCUACAUUCUAAGGGUGUGGCAUUCACAAGCAAUAAACGAGAGAGCCUGUGGCAUAGUGCCCAGCACAUGUAGGCACACAAAAAUUUACUCCCAUCUGCAUUACACCCCCCACACACACACAAUGUUGUUUCAACAGAUAAUAAACUUUAGCCUAUACACAGUAAAAAGUGACAUUUUUUUU